GCCCAGAUGGCGGAAUUGGUAGACGCGCUGGAUUCAAAAUCCAGUUCCGCAAGGAGUGCGGGUUCGAUUCCCGCUCUGGGUA
This 82-nucleotide transfer RNA is filed under the name Crocinitomicaceae bacterium. RNAcentral describes it as "tRNA-Leu". It matches the Rfam family "tRNA". From Rfam's summary of the family: Transfer RNA (tRNA) molecules are approximately 80 nucleotides in length. Lineage: Bacteria; Pseudomonadati; Bacteroidota; Flavobacteriia; Flavobacteriales; Crocinitomicaceae. The record is from RNAcentral.